UUCCAGACUCCUACGGGAGGCAGCAGUGGGGAAUAUUGCACAAUGGGGGAAACCCUGAUGCAGCGACGCCGCGUGAGUGAAGAAGUCUUUCGGUAUGUAAAGCUCUAUCAGCAGGAACGAGACAAGACGGUACCUGACUAAGAAGCCCCGGCUAACUACGUGCCAGCAGCCGCGGUAAUACGUAGGGGGCAAGCGUUAUCCGGAAUCACUGGGUGUAAAGGGAGCGUAGACGGCUGUGCAAGCCUGAAGUGAAAGGCGGGGGCCCAACCCCUGGACUGGUUUGGGAACUGUACGGCUGGAGUGCAGGAGAGGUAAGUGGAAUUCCUAGGGUAGCGGUGAAAUGCGUAGAUAUUAGGAGGAACACCAGUGGCGAAGGCGGCUUACUGGACGGUAACUGACGUUGAGGCUCGAAAGCGUGGGGAGCAAACAGGAUUAGAUACCCGCGUAC
Molecule: ribosomal RNA, 448 nt
Filed under: uncultured bacterium
Lineage: Bacteria
Description: bacterial SSU rRNA
Rfam family: Bacterial small subunit ribosomal RNA
Source: RNAcentral